This 1567-nucleotide long non-coding RNA is filed under the name Gossypium barbadense (sea-island cotton). RNAcentral's name for it is "long non-coding RNA (GBAR_LNC022478)". The record is from RNAcentral. Lineage: Eukaryota; Viridiplantae; Streptophyta; Magnoliopsida; Malvales; Malvaceae.
ACCUAGUAGCUCUCGCGUGGAAGUAAUGAGUAUUUCUAUCACCCUCAUUUAACCAAAAUGACCGUGAUCUUUGGGACCAAUAUUUCUCUUCCUUAGCAUAGAGAUGAUUGAGCCUACUUCGGGUUUCUUUCAAAAUGACGUACUGUUAAUUCCUUGAGGCGAGUCAAUGAUCCUAUCAAUCUUGUGUUCCAGUCUUCAAAUGUCUUUCUUCAUAUUGUUAUAUUUACCACGUUGCCAAGGGCCCAGCGACAUGCACAUAUUAUCAAGCUUAUCCACAAAGUUAUUAUCACUGCAUUGCCACAAUCGCCUUUGAUAAUUUUCUUAGCUUCCUCGUUAAUAGCCUAACACUCAUCAAACUUGAAACUAAGCCUGGGAUCUUUAUCUUGCAUCUUAGGCUUGCGGCCCUAAGUAUCCAAGACAAUAGCAUCAUGGUCAAAAUUAGUUUGACGCACCACAUACGUAGCCAUAAAAGGGAAAUUCUCAAUAACAGACACUGAAGUAAAGAAUCUAUCCAUUCUCUCCUUAAUCAUGGUAUUCCCAUCCCUAUUAUUAACCCAAGUAAACCAUCAUUUAUCGGGCUUGAUAUCAACAAGAGCUAGCUCAUCCACAAGAUCCUUGAACUCAUUUAUUUGCGACCUGGCCUUCUUACGCCCACCCUCUUUCUCUACAUCAUUCAAAAUUGCAUUAAAAUCCCCCCUACAAUCCAGUCCUCACCAACUGUCCCACCAAUCCUUGUUAGCAUUUCCCACGAACUAUUUCUAAGACUCGAGUUCACAUUACCAUAGAUACCAGUGAAACAAACACUUUUUUUGUUUUCAUAUUGAACCAAGGCAUCAAUAUGGAACUUGGAAUAGUUUUGAAUGUUAAAUCAACACCUUCCCUCCACAUCAACGCGAGACCCCCAUUUCUUCCCUCAGAAUUCAUAGGCAAACCAUUUUGCAUCCUGUAUCUAUUUUGAACACGUUGAAAAUCAUUAGCUUUCAUUUUUGUUUCACUAAGGAAAAUAACAUCAAGGUUAUUGACAACUAAGAGUUGCUUAAGCUCCCAAAGUAUCGCGGGAUUCCCCAACCCACGACAUUUCCAGCAAAGAAACUUCAUUGAUCUUGGUGGGGCUAAUCGCCAGCCGUCGCCUUAAAAGGUGAUAAACCAUCCAUAAGCUUUCUAUAAACUGUUCUACUGGGGCUGUCUUCGAUUAACUCUCUACUGCUGCCUCUUGCCCUCUUCUUUUUAUUACUCAGUUUCCCACAUGUUUCACGAGACAGCUUCAAAGAUCGCUUCUCCACUUGAAAGCUUGAACCCGACUCUUCUUUAGUCAGCUUAGUUUUCUCUUUUUCCUUUGUUUUGCCAGGAACAUUUAGCUUAGUAUUUCCUUGUGUCUUUCCCUUCAACUCACUUUUCACUAUUCUUUUUGCUUCAAUAACUUCAAUCUCGUUUCUCCAAUUUCCCUGAUCCUAAUUCGCUAUACCUAUAGAAGCUCUUAACCAGUUUCCAUAUUGAUAACUAGUUUCAUUGGUUUUGCUUUGGAUAAUCGUCUUUUGGAAUUUUUGUGUUGAAUGGCUUCUAAGGC